UGGGGAAUUUUGGACAAUGGGCGAAAGCCUGAUCCAGCAAUGCCGCGUGUGUGAAGAAGGCCUUCGGGUUGUAAAGCACUUUUGUCCGGAAAGAAAUCCUUGGCUCUAAUACAGUCGGGGGAUGACGGUACCGGAAGAAUAAGCACCGGCUAACUACGUGCCAGCAGCCGCGGUAAUACGUAGGGUGCAAGCGUUAAUCGGAAUUACUGGGCGUAAAGCGUGCGCAGGCGGUUUGCUAAGACCGAUGUGAAAUCCCCGGGCUCAACCUGGGAACUGCAUUGGUGACUGGCAGGCUAGAGUAUGGCAGAGGGGGUAGAAUUCCACGUGUAGCAGUGAAAUGCGUAGAGAUGUGGAGGAAUACCGAUGGCGAAGGCAGCCCCUGGCCAAGUACUGACGCUCAUGCACGAAAGCGUGGGGAGCAAAACAGGAUUAGAUACCCUGGUAGUCCACGCCCUAAACGAUGUCAACUAGUUUGUUGGGGGAUUCAUUUCCUUAGUAACGUAGCUAACGCGUGAAGUUGACCGCCUGGGGAGUACGGUCGCAAGAUUAAAACUUAAA
RNAcentral lists this ribosomal RNA (558 nucleotides) under uncultured bacterium. RNAcentral's name for it is "partial 16S ribosomal RNA". It matches the Rfam family "Bacterial small subunit ribosomal RNA", at positions 355 to 905 of the family's 1533-position model. The record is from RNAcentral.